CCAAGGUUGAUCGAAGUUGAACAUUCCUAUGGAACUCCCCUUCAGACGACUUCUCUGCGCUUGCCCAGCACCUUUCGUUUUAAUGCAGUCUCGCAAAUGCUUGUAGGCUCUUCUCGCAGCACCAUCCACCCAAUACAUGUUCCUAACACGGUCCUCAUCGUCCAAUCUUAUCAUGUAGAAGAAAUCUUGAUCUUCUUUCGCUUUCUCAUCGAAGUAGGCUAUUGUGGCUUCUAUGUUAGCCCACUUGCUUUCUCUACGGUACUUUGCCUUUAG
Molecule: ribosomal RNA, 273 nt
Filed under: Triticum aestivum (bread wheat)
Lineage: Eukaryota; Viridiplantae; Streptophyta; Magnoliopsida; Poales; Poaceae
Description: partial small subunit ribosomal RNA
Source: RNAcentral